This 317-nucleotide small nuclear RNA is filed under the name Pogona vitticeps (central bearded dragon). RNAcentral describes it as "7SK RNA (ENSPVIG00000021830.1)". It matches the Rfam family "7SK RNA". Rfam says of the family: 7SK was discovered as an abundant small nuclear RNA in the mid-70s but a possible function has only recently been suggested. Two independent studies have found that 7SK RNA binds the CDK9/cyclin T complex (known as elongation factor P-TEFb). P-TEFb activates transcription by phosphorylating the C-terminal domain of RNA polymerase II. The record is from RNAcentral. Lineage: Eukaryota; Metazoa; Chordata; Lepidosauria; Squamata; Agamidae.
GGGUGUGAGGGUAAUCCAGCUAUGACAAAGGUCAUUCCACUGGCUGACCAGGUUUAUUUGGCUGAUCUUGUUGGCUAGGCUGAUGUCCCCUCCCUCCCUCUAUGUCCUGAAGCUGUGCACUUGGUGGAAGAAGAGAACCAGCCCAAAUGCAAGGAGUGAACCGUUCUUUGCUCAAGGAUACAGGAUAGCUGCACUUGCCUACUAGAAACGACAAACAUUUUAAAAAGAAUUACCUUUGUACUUCUAAAACUCCAAGGAAGCUCUAAAAAUUCUGAUCACUAGAAGUGAUGAAGGACUGUCCUUUACAAAAGGCAACU